GUGGCAAAUCCCCUUGAGCUUAUCUGGAGAAGGACCUUGGUGUCUUCAAGCUAAGAGCCACUGCCUCUGAGAUACUCCACUACCAAAAUCAUCACUGCACCUAGACGGUUCUGUUAUAAUACACAGAUCUCCAUGGCGACUGGAAAGCAGGUGAUGAGAGCCAUGUUACUCAUCAUUCUGUUGUGAUGCAUGGUGCUGCGACAUCUUACUGCAUGAACGUCCUCCUAGGUGAUUUCAUGUGUGGGAAACAGAGAUCCCAGCAAACGAUCAGUGAGAAGUUCAUCUCAGUGAAUUAUCAUGAGGUUAAUUGACACAUUUAAGGCCAUAUCCAGACAUGGAGGAAAAUCAAGUCUGAUACACUUCUGGUUCUUAAUGGGGAAAUGUUCUCUAACUGUAGUUCAUGAAUGGGGAGAAAUACUUUCAUUCUCUUCAGUUUUCUGAAAAAAGCAGCAAGCAAUACAAUAAAAGAAAAUCCCUUUUGGACCACCAUCAAGGGGUAGGAGGAAGAACUUGUGAAAUAUAGAGUUAUUUUUCCUCUGAGAUGCUCAGCUACAUUAUACUGGGUCAUAAUUAAAUCAGCAGAGACUGAUAUCUUUGGAACACCCAUUGUAAGCCAGACUGGUAUUAAUCAUCUCCAAGGUGAUCCUAGUUACUAUGGGAACGAUGAUAUUUGUUUGUGUUCUUAGCGCUGGCUAGUCGCCGAAGUUUGGCAGUCUCCAUAUAGUAAUCCAGCUGAUUAGAAAUGCUAAGUUGCUGUCAUGAAUUUUUCAUUACUGCUGUCAGUAUGAAUCUGUCCUUUACAGGAAUAAUUACUAAUUAAUAAAUCCUAUUCUCUGUUCAGGAGGGAAAGGUUGCCUAUGCUAAACCUGCCCUUUUGUAACCAAGCUGUUUAAGCCCUUUUGGGCUCUGUCAGGCAAAAAAAAAAGCAUUGUUUUUUUACUCACUAAGCUCUCUUUUUGAAAAUGCGUAAACUCCUUGCCAGCCCUUUUUUCCCGUGACUUUUAGAAAUACUUACUGAAAAAGAUGGAUAAUCUCAACUGGAGGCUUGACUCACAUAUAGCGUUCCCCCUAGUUUAAUUACUUUCUGCUCUCCAGCUGCUCUGGAGAAUUGCUCCGGCUCAGGAAAGCGUGUCUGGAGGUCGGCAUGAGCUCCCGGACCCCGGCUGCCCUCCUCACACAGCCGGGGGAAACCAGGCCAUCCUGCCCCCGGAAUGGGUCCCACUGCCACAGGUGCCCCAGCGCAGGCCCCCCUCCUCGGGGUAUCUGUCGCGCCCCAUCCACGGGGCAGCCCCCGAGGCUCGUCGGGUCUCGACUAACCUGACCCAGAGCAGCAGGUGACCUGCACCGCCUGCUCCUGGGGCAGCAGGGCUGGGGGGAAAGAGCAGGGGGAAGCAGCCGAACACUCCUGGGAAGCCACAAAAGCAGUCGUUAAUGUAUCAGUGGGGAAAAAGUCUUGUGAUCGCUGAUUCAGUGCUUAAAAAAAAUUGACAAAAAGCCUGGACGAAUUACUGAAAAUGCGAUGGGUAGAGGAGAAGGGAAAGCAGCAAGGUAGUGAGAGAGCAUUUCAUUUUCCUGCUUCAGCGCAUGUCAUUCCUCUGUGUAGAUGCCAUGCUUUGCUUCCCUUUGUAUUUUGCCAGGAGAGAAGUGGACAGCGUUUAUAAAGUCAGCCCCUUUUGAAUCACACAGAUAAUGUGACCUCACUUCACUGGGAAGCCGUAAACUCUCACAGACACCUUUAUUAUAAUGGUGAGGCUCGCUGCCUUGAUCGGGAAGCCGCAGCAUGCACCUGGGGUGUAGGGUGCAGAACUGAAGCCACACGCAGAGCUUCAGCCCUUGCAGGCUGAGGAAACAUCAGACAGACUGAGUGACAGCGAGUGAAGGAGAAGCAACAGCCCACAUACUAAGGCAGCAAGGAUGAAGGUACCAAAUAGGAAAGCCAAUACUGAAGCAACCAGCCUCUCUCUGUCCCCUGAGGUCAGUAUUUUCAGAGCUCCGGUCACACUCCAAAC
Molecule: long non-coding RNA, 2009 nt
Organism: Dromaius novaehollandiae (emu)
Lineage: Eukaryota; Metazoa; Chordata; Aves; Casuariiformes; Dromaiidae
Exons: 6
Source: RefSeq, a predicted model, not a curated record